GGUAAGAUGGCCGAGCGGUCUAAGGCGCCAGGUUAAGGUUAGCUUAACGAAAUAAUUCCUGGUCCAGGUAACUGGGCGUGAGUUCGAAUCUCACUCUUAUCA
Non-coding RNA from Parascedosporium putredinis, 102 nucleotides. The record is from the annotation of a GenBank genome assembly. NCBI's taxonomy places the organism in Eukaryota, Fungi, Ascomycota, Sordariomycetes, Microascales, Microascaceae.